RNAcentral lists this ribosomal RNA (146 nucleotides) under Amanita morrisii. Its description in RNAcentral is "partial 28S ribosomal RNA". It matches the Rfam family "Eukaryotic large subunit ribosomal RNA", at positions 1 to 143 of the family's 3401-position model. The record is from RNAcentral. Lineage: Eukaryota; Fungi; Basidiomycota; Agaricomycetes; Agaricales; Amanitaceae.
UUGACCUCAAAUCAGGUAGGACUACCCGCUGAACUUAAGCAUAUCAAUAAGCGGAGGAAAAGAAACUAACAAGGAUUCCCUUAGUAACUGCGAGUGAAGAGGGAAAAGCUCAAAUUUAAAAUCUGGCAGUGUUUCACUGUCCGAGU